RNAcentral lists this ribosomal RNA (372 nucleotides) under uncultured bacterium. Its description in RNAcentral is "partial 16S ribosomal RNA". It matches the Rfam family "Bacterial small subunit ribosomal RNA", at positions 338 to 724 of the family's 1533-position model. The record is from RNAcentral.
CCUACGGGUGGCAGCAGUGGGGAAUAUUGGGCAAUGGGCGCAAGCCUGACCCAGCGACGCCGCGUGAGUGAAGAAGUCUUUCGGUUUGUAAAGCUCUUUCAUCAGGGACGAAACAAAUGCCGGUACCUGACGAAUAAGCCCCGGCUAACUACGUGCCAGCAGCCGCGGUAAUACGUAGGGGGCAAGCGUUAUCCGGAUUUACUGGGUGUAAAGGGCGCGUAGGCGGCGAGGCAAGUAGGAAGUGAAAGGCAGGGGCUCAACCCCUGGACUGCUUUGGAAACUGGAUGGCUGGAGUGCAGGAGAGGUAAGCGGAAUUCCGGGUGUAGCGGUGAAAUGCGUAGAUAGUAGGAGGAACACCAGUGGCGAAGGCGG